GACGGAGGGGGCAAGCGUUGUUCGGAAUUACUGGGCGUAAAGGGCGCGCAGGCGGUCAUGCAAGUCGGGGGUGAAAGCCCACGGCUUAACCGUGGAAUUGCCUUCGAAACUGCAUGACUUGAGUACGGAAGAGGAGAGCGGAAUUCCCAGUGUAGCGGUGAAAUGCGUAGAUAUUGGGAGGAACACCAGUGGCGAAGGCGGCUCUCUGGUCCGAUACUGACGCUGAGGCGCGAAAGCCAGGGGAGCAAACGGG
This 253-nucleotide ribosomal RNA is filed under the name uncultured bacterium. Its description in RNAcentral is "partial 16S ribosomal RNA". It matches the Rfam family "Bacterial small subunit ribosomal RNA", at positions 524 to 776 of the family's 1533-position model. The record is from RNAcentral.